Molecule: long non-coding RNA, 2052 nt
Organism: Pygocentrus nattereri (red-bellied piranha)
Lineage: Eukaryota; Metazoa; Chordata; Actinopteri; Characiformes; Serrasalmidae
Source: Ensembl
AUGAGAAACAGUCAACUCACAAUACCUACAUUUAGAGUCGGUUAUUCAUUCAGUCUAAUGAGAAACUAUAGAACAGACUCGGUUUAUAUCACAAUACCUACAUUUAGAGUCGGUUAUUCAUUCAGUCUAAUGAGAAACUAUAGAACAGACUCGGUUUAUAUCACAAUACCUACCUUUAGAGUCGGUUAUUCAUUCAGUCUAAUGAGAAACUAUAGAACAGACUCGGUUUAUAUCACAAUACCUACAUUUAGAGUCGGUUAUUCAUUCAGCCUAAUGAGAAACUGUAGAACGGACUCGGUUUAUAUCACAAUACCUACAUUUAGAGUCGGUUAUUCAUUCAGCCUAAUGAGAAACUGUAGAACGGACUCGGUUUAUAUCACAAUACCUACAUUUAGACUCGGUUAUUCAUUCAGUCUAAUGAGAAACUGUAGAACAGACUCGGUUUAUAUCACAAUACCUACAUUUAGAGUCGGUUAUUCAUUCAGCCUAAUGAGAAACUGUAGAACGGACUCGGUUUAUAUCACAAUACCUACAUUUAGAGUCAGUUAUUCAUUCAGUCUAAUGAGAAACUGUAGAAGAGACUCGGUUUAUAUCACAAUACCUACAUUUAGAGUCGGUUAUUCAUUCAGCCUAACGAGAAACCGUAGAAGAGACUCGGUUUAUAUCACAAUACCUACAUUUAGAGUCGGUUAUUCAUUCAGCCUAACGAGAAACCGUAGAAGAGACUCGGUUUAUAUCACAAUACCUACAUUUAGAGUCGGUUAUUCAUUCAGCCUAACGAGAAACCGUAGAAGAGACUCGGUUUAUAUCACAAUACCUACAUUUAGAGCCGGUUAUUCAUUCAGCCUAACGAGAAACCGUAGAACAGAAUCGGUUUAUAUCACAAUACCUACAUUUAGAGCCGGUUAUUCAUUCAGCCUAACGAGAAACCGUAGAACAGACUCGGUUUAUAUCACAAUACCUACAUUUAGAGCCGGUUAUUCAUUCAGCCUAACGAGAAACCGUAGAACAGACUCGGUUUAUAUCACAAUACCUACAUUUAGAGCCGGUUAUUCAUUCAGCCUAAUGAGAAACUGUAGAACAGACUCGGUUUAUAUCACAAUACCUACAUUUAGAGUCGGUUAUUCAUUCAGCCUAAUGAGAAACUGUAGAACGGACUCGGUUUAUAUCACAAUACCUACAUUUAGAGUCGGUUAUUCAUUCAGCCUAAUGAGAAACUGUAGAACGGACUCGGUUUAUAUCACAAUACCUACAUUUAGAGUCGGUUAUUCAUUCAGCCUAAUGAGAAACUGUAGAACGGACUCGGUUUAUAUCACAAUACCUACAUUUAGAGUCGGUUAUUCAUUCAGCCUAAUGAGAAACUGUAGAACGGACUCGGUUUAUAUCACAAUACCUACAUUUAGAGUCGGUUAUUCAUUCAGUCUAAUGAGAAACUGUAGAACGGACUCGGUUUAUAUCACAAUACCUACAUUUAGAGUCGGUUAUUCAUUCAGUCUAAUGAGAAACUGUAGAACGGACUCGGUUUAUAUCACAAUACCAACAUUUAGAGUCGGUUAUUCAUUCAGCCUAAUGAGAAACUGUAGAACGGACUCGGUUUAUAUCACAAUACCUACAUUUAGAGUCGGUUAUUCAUUCAGUCUAAUGAGAAACUGUAGAACGGACUCGGUUUAUAUCACAAUACCUACAUUUAGAGUCGGUUAUUCAUUCAGCCUAAUGAGAAACUGUAGAACGGACUCGGUUUAUAUCACAAUACCUACAUUUAGAGUCGGUUAUUCAUUCAGUCUAAUGAGAAACUGUAGAACGGACUCGGUUUAUAUCACAAUACCUACAUUUAGAGUCGGUUAUUCAUUCAGCCUAACGAGAAACCGUAGAAGAGACUCGGUUUAUAUCACAAUACCUACAUUUAGAGUCGGUUAUUCAUUCAGCCUAACGAGAAACCGUAGAAGAGACUCGGUUUACAUCACAAUACCUACAUUUAGAGUCGGUUAUUCAUUCAGCCUAACGAGAAACCGUAGCAGAGACUCGGUUUAUAUCACAAUACCCUACAUUUAG